AGUUUGACCUCAAAUCAGGUAGGAGUACCCGCUGAACUUAAGCAUAUCAAUAAGCGGAGGAAAAGAAACCAACCGGGAUUGCCUUAGUAACGGCGAGUGAAGCGGCAAAAGCUCAAAUUUGAAAUCUGGUACCUUCGGUGCCCGAGUUGUAAUUUGGAGAGGGCAACUUUGGGGCCGUUCCUUGUCUAUGUUCCUUGGAACAGGACGUCAUAGAGGGUGAGAAUCCCGUGUGGCGAGGAGUGCGGUUCUUUGUAAAGUGCCUUCGAAGAGUCGAGUUGUUUGGGAAUGCAGCUCUAAGUGGGUGGUAAAUUCCAUCUAAAGCUAAAUAUUGGCGAGAGACCGAUAGCGAACAAGUACAGUGAUGGAAAGAUGAAAAGAACUUUGAAAAGAGAGUGAAAAAGUACGUGAAAUUGUUGAAAGGGAAGGGCAUUUGAUCAGACAUGGUGUUUUGUGCCCUCUGCUCCUUGUGGGUAGGGGAAUCUCGCAUUUCACUGGGCCAGCAUCAGUUUUGGUGGCAGGAUAAAUCCAUAGGAAUGUAGCUUGCCUCGGUAAGUAUUAUAGCCUGUGGGAAUACUGCCAGCUGGGACUGAGGACUGCGACGUAAGUCAAGGAUGCUGCAG
RNAcentral lists this ribosomal RNA (620 nucleotides) under Saccharomyces cerevisiae (brewer's yeast). RNAcentral describes it as "LSU rRNA". It matches the Rfam family "Eukaryotic large subunit ribosomal RNA", at positions 1 to 631 of the family's 3401-position model. The record is from RNAcentral. Lineage: Eukaryota; Fungi; Ascomycota; Saccharomycetes; Saccharomycetales; Saccharomycetaceae.